CAUCUCUGCUUCAAAUGUCAGCUGCUCGAUUACGGAUACUCCAUCCUGCCCACUGGGGACUGAGUUACGCUGUGACACCGAGGACUGCUGCCCCCGCUGCCACUGUGCUCCUGUGAACGCCUGUGUUCUCAACCACACGCUGAUAGGGGCAGGGGAGCAGCUGAUGGUUGAUGCGUGUACACGCUGUCAGUGUAGGAUAGUGGAUGGUCCAAUCAGGAAAUAUGAACUGUCCUGCAGGAAAACAAGCUGUCCCUCUUGCCCCAUGGUAGCCAUCCUCAAAUUAUUUUGUCUGUUUUAACUCUUGUC
This is a non-coding RNA of Neolamprologus brichardi, 306 nucleotides long. Lineage: Eukaryota; Metazoa; Chordata; Actinopteri; Cichliformes; Cichlidae. The record is from RefSeq and is a predicted model, not a curated record.